RNAcentral lists this long non-coding RNA (538 nucleotides) under Mytilus galloprovincialis (Mediterranean mussel). Lineage: Eukaryota; Metazoa; Mollusca; Bivalvia; Mytilida; Mytilidae. The record is from RNAcentral.
GGGGUUUUGAGAAUUUGAAAAUUAUUGAACAGAUGCAUUUGAAAUUUUGCAAAAGAAUUUUAAAAGUUCGAAAUACUACACCCAAUUUCAUGGUGUAUGGAGAAUUGGGAAGAUUUCCUCUGCAAAUUCGAGUUAAAUGUAGAAUGAUUUCGUAUUGGUGUAAAGUUGUAAACAAUAGCAGUAAACUAAGUAGUUCUUUGUACAGGCUGAUGUUAUCAUUGAAGAAUCAUGGCCAUUAUGUUUUCAAAUGGAUUGAUUCUGUCGACUCAAUAUUUAACAACACUGGUCUAGGAUAUAUUUUCAUAAACCAAAUUGGCUUUUGUGAUAAAAAUUAUCUUGAUCGUAUAUUGAGUGAUCAGUUUAUUACCUCAUGGUUUGGCGAUAUAGAAAAUUCAUCCCGGGGACAAUUUUAUGGGACAUUCAAAAAAGACUUUGGACUAGAAAAAUAUCUGAUCAGACUAUCUGAACAGAAUAGAGGGUGGAUAACUAAAUUAAGGACAUCGAACUUACGUAUUCCAAUCGAGACAGGCCGUUGGCA